GCCGAGGUAGUAUAACGAGUGCGUCCGUUUUUCGUGCGGUUAGUGGUUUUAGAUAACCUCUCGGUU
Molecule: transfer RNA, 66 nt
Filed under: Pecten albicans
Lineage: Eukaryota; Metazoa; Mollusca; Bivalvia; Pectinida; Pectinidae
Description: tRNA-Glu
Source: RNAcentral